UGAAAGCCUAAGAGAUUAGGCCCUCCUUCGGGACACGAAGACAGGUGUUGCAUGGUUGUCGUCAGCUCGUGUCGUGAGAUGUUGGGUUAAGUCCCGCAACGAGCGCAACCCUCAUAUACAGUUGCCAAUAUUUAGUUAGGAACUCUGUAUAGACUGCCGUGGUUAACACGGAGGAAGGUGGGGAUGACGUCAAAUCAUCACGGCCCUUACGUCCUGGGCUACACACGUGCUACAAUGGCUAUUACAAAGAGUAGCGAUACAGUAAUGCGGAGCGAAUCUCAAAAAGAUAGUCUCAGUUCGGAUUGUGGGCUGCAACUCGCCCACAUGAAGUCGGAGUUGCUAGUAAUCCCGAAUCAGCAUGUCGGGGUAAAUGCGUUCCCGGGUCUUGUACACACCGCCCGUCACGCCAUGGGAGUUGGGAGUGCCCAAAGUCACUGACUUAACCGCAAGGGGAGAGGUGCCUAAGGUAAUACCAAUGACUGGGGUGAAGUCGUAACAAGGUAGCCGUAUCGGAAGGUGCGGCU
This 524-nucleotide ribosomal RNA is filed under the name uncultured bacterium. RNAcentral describes it as "bacterial SSU rRNA". It matches the Rfam family "Bacterial small subunit ribosomal RNA", at positions 992 to 1519 of the family's 1533-position model. The record is from RNAcentral.